RNAcentral lists this ribosomal RNA (254 nucleotides) under uncultured bacterium. Its description in RNAcentral is "partial 16S ribosomal RNA". It matches the Rfam family "Bacterial small subunit ribosomal RNA", at positions 524 to 776 of the family's 1533-position model. The record is from RNAcentral.
UACGGGGGGAGCAAGCGUUGUUCGGAUUUACUGGGCGUAAAGGGCGCGUAGGCGGCCACCGCAAGUCAGUUGUGAAAUCUCUGGGCUUAACCCAGAACGGUCAGCUGAUACUGCGGGGCUAGAGUGCAGAAGGGGCAACUGGAAUUCUCGGUGUAGCGGUGAAAUGCGUAGAGAUCAGGAAGAACACCGGUGGCGAAAGCGUUCUGCUGGGCUGCGACUGACACUGAGGGACGAAAGCUAGGGGAGCGAAUGGG